This 548-nucleotide long non-coding RNA is filed under the name Nicotiana tabacum (common tobacco). Its description in RNAcentral is "long non-coding RNA (NTAB_LNC003427)". The record is from RNAcentral. Lineage: Eukaryota; Viridiplantae; Streptophyta; Magnoliopsida; Solanales; Solanaceae.
AAUAAAUGAGGAACGAUCAUGGCGGGGCGGUGACUAUGGUUCUUUAGGUCGUAUUUGAUGGCCCGGAAAAUUUUAGGCGAUCGGGGUCGACGGCUCCCGGGACCACUCGGAAGGCGUAAGCUAUUGCACACGAAAAUAUGCAAAUCGCGCGGAGUUCUAGCUUUUUGGCCGAAAAAUUCAAAGCAUUUGGAACGAUCAUGGUGGGGCGGGGACUAUGGUACCUUAGGUCGUAUUUGAUAGUCCGGAAAAAUUUUAGGCGAUCGGGGUCCGCGGCUCCCCGGACCACUUGGACGGCGUGGUAUAGCACACGAAAAUAUGGGAAUCGGGCGUAAUUCUAGUUUUUUGGCCGAAAAAUGCAAAAAAUGAGAAACGAUGAUGGCGGGCGGUUACUAUGGUUCCUUAGGUCGUAUUUGACGAUCUGAAAAUAUUUUAGGCGAUCGGGGUCCGGGGGUCCCGGAACCACUUGGAAGGGUGGGCAAUAGCACACUAAAAUAUUGUAAUCGGGCGGAAUUCUAGUUUUUUCGCCGAAAAAUGCAACAAAUGAGGAA